This is a non-coding RNA of Hysterangium stoloniferum, 76 nucleotides long. NCBI's taxonomy places the organism in Eukaryota, Fungi, Basidiomycota, Agaricomycetes, Hysterangiales, Hysterangiaceae. The record is from the annotation of a GenBank genome assembly.
GGUUCAGUAGCUCAGUGGUUAGAGCACCGGCAUAUAAAACCAGGAAGUCCUUUGGUUCAAUCCCAGGGCUAGGUCA